Molecule: non-coding RNA, 1710 nt
Organism: Lactuca sativa (garden lettuce)
Lineage: Eukaryota; Viridiplantae; Streptophyta; Magnoliopsida; Asterales; Asteraceae
Source: RefSeq, a predicted model, not a curated record
CAGUUGUAUAUUCUUCCCCCACAAGAUUGCCACAUUUUUACCACCGCUCAAAAUAUCUUCUCUCUUUUUGAUUAUCUUUCUUCGUCGGUUUCCCUUACCACUGCUUCUAACAGUCUCUCCCUCUCCGAUUCAUUCUCUCUUCAUAUGAAAUUAGCCUUUUUACCACCAUCGCCAUCAAGAGAAGCCAGUGUUCCGUACCAAUCUGCAAGUUAUCUUUUACUUUAUUUAUUCCGGUUAUGUCGCUACUCUCCGCCUCCUUCUUUUCACUCCAUGUUUGAUGCUUCUAUUUCCCACCACCGCUUCAAUUUCAUCAGCUCAAAGUUUCAACGUCAAAAUGGAACGCUUCCUUCUUUUCUUACAGCUGUGGUGGCUGGAUGUCAUUUCUGAAAGGUUUGUAGAUUUCAAAGUGGAAUAGAUAACAAAUUAUAGAGUGGCUUGUUGGUUGAUGCACUAAAAGCUAUUGGAGUUGUAACUUUCUACUGUCCAUUUGAAUUUAGUCACCUUCCCAAAUGAAAGGUUAGUAGUAAAAAUCUAAGCUUAGGAGGAUCUCUGGAUUUCUUUCUGCUGACAAGGCAAAAGAGUCGUUACCAAUGGACAGUGUGGUCUUGGAAUUACCCAAUGAAUGCUUUACAUUUUCACGCACACCAACAUACAAGAUGACAAAAAAAUACAAGGGACCAAAUGUAGACUUCCGGUGUAAAAAGGGAAUUGUUGUGUUCAAUGGUGGCCAAAAAUAAUAAUCGGAAAUAGGUAACUACAAGCUCGUGUUCAUUUUUUUUGGUGUGUUUGUUUGUGAUUCGAAGAACAAAGAAGGAAAGAUCAAAUGUUACUGUUAAAACAUGUGAUUUAGUUUUCACCCGUUUAUAUCAUUGCAAUUUAGCUGCAUAUCAGGUGUUUGAAGAAAUGUCUAAAAGAAAGUUUAAUGCUAGCUGUGUAGCUUCACCUCUCGCUUGGUAUCAAUUUCUAUGCUGUUUACAAUUGGGUUGCGUAAUUUCUUUCUUUAAUUUUAUAAUUUCUCUCUUUCAUAGUGCUGUACUGAUCUUGGAAGACAUUUUUUGGGGUGAAAGAGAAAAGCCACGUCAUCAAGAUUACAAGUUUCAUGGAGUUGCAGAUGAUACAGGAUUACAUGUAUUCUGCAGUUGCAAAUGAUACAAGUGUUCUUUAAGAAGAUUUAAUGACAAAUUAUCCAUUGUACAAAAUGAUAUAUCAUUAUCAACUGAAGGAUUAAAGCGAUGUUUACUUGAAGAGGGCACAAGUGAAGUAGUUGUACAAGACUAUCAGCAGAUUAUGCUUAUAGAAUUUUCAGAAAUACAAGAGCAAGGCAGAGUUCUUUGUGAAGAUCGUUCAAGUUUGAUCAAAACCUUGUGCCAGCUAGAGGUUGUGUGAGAAAACACUAGCCUUAAUACAUGGUGAUCUCCAUAAGGUUAAUGUCUCCUAUUUGCAUGAUAAUCCAUGAAAACAUGAAACAAGAGGAAGGAGAUGUUGUAGCUUGGGGUAAUUAUUACGAACUACAUGGUUCGGUACAAAGUCAAAAUUAUAAAUCUAUUUUACUUUUAUGCAUCAAGGCUUGCCAUGGUCAUUGUUAAGGAUAGAAAAGACUCGAAACUAUGUAAAUAUGAAGAUAAAAAGCCUAUUUUAAUUCGUAGUAUAUGUGUAAGUUUCCCCAUUCAUAAGGGCUAAAAGCGGUAAAUAGCAAUGUACUUUUAAUUA